GACGAACGCUGGCGGCGUGCUUAACACAUGCCAGUCGAACGGAAAGGCCCUGCUUUUGUGGGGUGCUCGAGUGGCGAACGGGUGAGUAACACGUGAGUAACCUGCCCUUGACUUUGGGAUAACUUCAGGAAACUGGGGCUAAUACCGGAUAGGAGCUCCUGCUGCAUGGUGGGGGUUGGAAAGUUUCGGCGGUUGGGGAUGGACUCGCGGCUUAUCAGCUUGUUGGUGGGGUAGUGGCUUACCAAGGCUUUGGCGGGUAGCCGGCCUGAGAGGGUGACCGGCCACAUUGGGACUGAGAUGCGGCCCAGACUCCUACGGGAGGCAGCAGUGGGGAAUAUUGCACAAUGGGCGGAAGCCUGAUGCAGCAACGCCGCGUGCGGGAUGACGGCCUUCGGGUUGUAAACCGCUUUCGCCUGUGACGAAGCGUGAGUGACGGUAAUGGGUAAAGAAGCACCGGCUAACUACGUG
Molecule: ribosomal RNA, 468 nt
Filed under: uncultured bacterium
Lineage: Bacteria
Description: partial 16S ribosomal RNA
Rfam family: Bacterial small subunit ribosomal RNA
Source: RNAcentral